Molecule: long non-coding RNA, 1207 nt
Filed under: Medicago truncatula (barrel medic)
Lineage: Eukaryota; Viridiplantae; Streptophyta; Magnoliopsida; Fabales; Fabaceae
Description: long non-coding RNA (MTRU_LNC008044)
Source: RNAcentral
UUUUAUCUUCGAAAGGUGUUCAACAACAGCAAAUGAUGACUGGAUCUGGGGCUCAACAUCUCAACCCUACUGCAGGUUGGCCACCAAGGCCGGCUGCUGUCCCUCCAUCUGAUGAAGGACCUCAGAGCAAGCAGCAGAAAUCCAAAAUUCCAGUCUUGGAGAAGCAUCUCACAAAUCAACUGAGUUCAGAUGAGCAAAAUUCAAUUAACUUGAAGUUUCAAGAAGCUACAGAAGCCAAUAAGAUGGUAACUACUGUAUAUUUAUUUCUUUGCGGCAUUAUGUUGUGCCUUAAAUAUGCCACAUUCAAUCACUUAAUUUUUUUUAUUAUUGGGGUACAUUAGAAGGUUCUAGCACCUUUGUUGAGGAUUGAACCUCCCUCUGACACAAUCACCGUACUCAAUCUUAAAAGACUUAGGAUAGUGACAAUCAAGCUAUAACCCAACAGUACCACCUCAAUGGAUGGCAUGUUUAUUUGUUCAUCUUUUUCCGCUAACAUAGCUGCUGGUUUUUGUUUUAUUCUGACUGUAAAGCUCACAUAUUUGCAUGUGUUUCCUAAACGGUUUGCUUAUCUAUUGGCUAACUGCGAAACACUACUUUGAUUGGUUUGAAGUUUCAUAGUAAGCAACUCUUUUUGGGGUCAUAUAUGCCAUAUACAUACUGUGUAUGGUCAUCUUUUAAAGUUGAUUAGUUUGAGGAUAUGGUGGAACAUCAGUGUAAGUAUGCUUUCUUUGCUUCAUACCUUUGUACAGUGUAUCUUGAUUUGCAGGCUGGACUUUUGUGAACCCAAGCUGGACUCUUGUGUAUUUAUACAAUAGAAUCUAGGAUACCUAGAAGAGAAAAACCCAUAAAAGCUGCCUUUCUUGCGCUGCAUAUGGUUAAAAAUGUCAUGUCAACACUCCUUUCUUUUAUUUUCCCCUUUUUUAAACAAAUUUUUCGUUUUUCUGCCUGCAAAAGGUUAAAUACAAUAGCAGAUGCGACAAUCGUCUUAACGAGACCACAGAAAGGAUAUCUGCGGAUAAACAUGAGGUAUUAUUCUUUAGCAUUGCAUUUAUCUUUAUUAGACCUAUAAGGUUAACUUUUAUAAUUGGCUCAAUAUAUGAAUUUCAGGUAGAGAUUCUAGCAAAGAAAUAUGAAGAUAAAUAUAAGCAAGUUGGAGAUGUAUCAUCCAAGUUGACAACCGAAGAAGCCACAUUCUGUGACAUACAGG